This 148-nucleotide non-coding RNA is filed under the name Homo sapiens (human). Lineage: Eukaryota; Metazoa; Chordata; Mammalia; Primates; Hominidae. The record is from Rfam by way of RNAcentral.
GCUGGGCAUGGUGGCGCAUGCCUGUAAUCUCAGCUACUCAGGAGGCUGAGGCAGGAGAAUCACUUGAACCCAGGAGAUGAAGGUUGCAGUGGGCUGAGAUCAUGCCACUGCACGCUAGCCUGGGCGACAGAGUGACACUCUGUCUCAA